GAGAUACAGUGAGAGGUGUGAUAUGAGGCCAGUAUCUGAAGAUGCUCAUGCUUCUGCUGCUCCUGGGGCCCACAGGUUCUGGGCUUGGUGCUCUCGUCUCUCAGGAUCCAAGGACAGCUGUCCGUAAGAGUGGAACCUCUGUGGUGAUCCAGUGCCAUUCGGUGGGCAUUCAAGCCACAACUGUGUUUUGGUAUCGUCAGUUCCCGGAACAGGGUCUCACGCUGAUGGCAACUUCUAAUGUGGCCUCCAAAGCUGCAUAUGAACAAGGUUUCUCUGAGACCGAGUUUUCCAUUAGCCAUCCAAAUACAACAUUUUCAUCUCUGACGGUGAUGAGUGUGAAACCUGCAGACAGCAGCCUCUACUUCUGCACCUGGAGUCACUGUGUGAACACUGAACUUUUCUUUGGAGCAGGCACCAGGCUCACGGUUAUAGAGGACCUGAAAAAGGUGAGCCCUCCCAAGGUCACAGUGUUUGAACCAUCAGAAGCAGAGAUCUCCCGGACCCUGAAGGCCACGCUCGUGUGCCUGGCUACAGGCUUCUACCCCGACCACGUGGAGCUGAGCUGGUGGGUGAACGGGAAGGAGGUGCGCGACGGGGUCAGCACGGACCCUGAGCCCUACAAGGAACAGUCCGGCGCGAAUGUCUCCAGCUACUGUCUGAGCAGCCGGCUGAGGGUCUCCGCCACCUUCUGGCACAACCCUCGGAACCACUUCCGCUGCCAGGUCCAGUUCUACGGGCUCGGGAAGGAUGACCAGUGGGACUACCCCGAGGCCAAACCCGUCACCCAGAACGUCAGUGCCGACACCUGGGGCAGAGCAGACUGUGGCUUCACUUCGGCGUCCUACCAGCAGGGGGUCCUGUCGGCCACCAUCCUCUAUGAGAUCCUGCUGGGGAAGGCCACCCUAUAUGCCAUCUUGGUCAGCGUCCUCGUGCUGAUGGCCAAGGUCAAGAGAAAGGAUUCCUGAGGCCAGCUCCAAAAGCGUAUCCUGAGUUCAUAAUCCUCACCCCGGAUUCUCCUUUACAUGCUUCCAGCCCGUGUUUCUAAAAGCGUGAUUCUCUCUCCGCCUCUUAUCUCCUUCCUGCCGGGUUAUCUGUCCCUUCGCCCCACUUCCCUGUGGAUUGAGCUCCUCAGCCCUGACACUGAAAGAGACUAAAACAAUAAAAAGCAUCGUGCCAGGCCUGGCUGUGU
This is a non-coding RNA of Puma concolor (puma), 1189 nucleotides long. The record is from the annotation of a RefSeq genome assembly. NCBI's taxonomy places the organism in Eukaryota, Metazoa, Chordata, Mammalia, Carnivora, Felidae.